AGGCAUACAAGAGAGCUCAGUUGGUCAUGAUACUAAAAUGAUAGUUGCUGCAUCAGAAUGUGGGACUGAAAUAUCAAUUUCAUCCACACUGGACUCACCAGAUAGAUCAGAAGGUGAUGGUGGGGAGAUCGUGAUGGAGAUUGGAGCUCUGGAAAAUAGAAACUAUGUCACUGGCAAAGCUGAUAAAGACUCCAAUAUUGUCCAUUCUGAGGUAAAAAGUGCACCUGAGGUAGAAGCCCAGCCGCAGAAGGAAGUAGAACAGAAUGGCCAUGUUCCUGCCCUUGAAAUAGAAGCCCAG
RNAcentral lists this long non-coding RNA (298 nucleotides) under Sorghum bicolor (sorghum). Its description in RNAcentral is "long non-coding RNA (SBIC_LNC011486)". Lineage: Eukaryota; Viridiplantae; Streptophyta; Magnoliopsida; Poales; Poaceae. The record is from RNAcentral.